Molecule: microRNA precursor, 156 nt
Filed under: Populus trichocarpa (black cottonwood)
Lineage: Eukaryota; Viridiplantae; Streptophyta; Magnoliopsida; Malpighiales; Salicaceae
Description: MIR2912 microRNA precursor family
Rfam family: MIR2912 microRNA precursor family
Source: Rfam by way of RNAcentral
UCUAGAACUCCAGAUAUGGGCUGAACACUGAAUAGUGUAUGGGCUACAUGACAGAUUCCGACUUCUCCGUUAUUGCUAAGAUUUGGACUUCUAAACAGUAGAAUUGAGUUUUUCACUCCAUAUGAAUGUUUUAGGCCUAUGUCUUAGCUUUCUAGC